ACGGGAGGCAGCAGUGGGGAAUAUUGGGCAAUGGGCGAAAGCCUGACCCGGCAACGCCGCGUGAAGGAAGAGGAUUUUCGGAUUGUAAACUUCUUUUAUGAGGGACGAAGGACGUGACGGUACCUCAUGAAUAAGCCACGGCUAACUACGUGCCAGCAGCCGCGGUAAUACGUAGGUGGCGAGCGUUAUCCGGAUUUACUGGGUGUAAAGGGCGCGUAGGCGGGGUGACAAGUCAGAUGUGAAAUCUAUGGGCUCAACCCAUAAACUGCAUUUGAAACUGCCACUCUUGAGUGCUGGAGAGGUAGACGGAAUUCCUAGUGUAGCGGUGAAAUGCGUAGAUAUAAGGAAGAACACCAGUGGCGAAGGCGGUCUACUGGACAGUAACUGACGCUGAGGCGCGAAAGCGUGGGGAGCAAACAGGAUUAGAUACCCUGGUA
RNAcentral lists this ribosomal RNA (437 nucleotides) under uncultured Oscillospiraceae bacterium. RNAcentral's name for it is "partial 16S ribosomal RNA". It matches the Rfam family "Bacterial small subunit ribosomal RNA", at positions 341 to 792 of the family's 1533-position model. The record is from RNAcentral. Lineage: Bacteria; Bacillati; Bacillota; Clostridia; Eubacteriales; Oscillospiraceae.